GGGCCUAUGGCUUAAUGGAUAAAGCGCCGGUCUACGGAACCGAAGAUUCCAGGUUCGAUCCCUGGUAGGCUCG
RNAcentral lists this transfer RNA (73 nucleotides) under Pleodorina starrii. It matches the Rfam family "tRNA". From Rfam's summary of the family: Transfer RNA (tRNA) molecules are approximately 80 nucleotides in length. Their secondary structure includes four short double-helical elements and three loops (D, anti-codon, and T loops). The record is from Rfam by way of RNAcentral. Lineage: Eukaryota; Viridiplantae; Chlorophyta; Chlorophyceae; Chlamydomonadales; Volvocaceae.